GCACCGGUGGUGCAUGGUGCACGCUGCGUUUCAAUGUGGGUUCGGACGCCAUUUCAGGCAGACCGGGGUUCGAUUCCCCGCCUGUAUU
Non-coding RNA from Mycena rebaudengoi, 88 nucleotides. Lineage: Eukaryota; Fungi; Basidiomycota; Agaricomycetes; Agaricales; Mycenaceae. The record is from the annotation of a GenBank genome assembly.